Molecule: long non-coding RNA, 545 nt
Organism: Mangifera indica (mango)
Lineage: Eukaryota; Viridiplantae; Streptophyta; Magnoliopsida; Sapindales; Anacardiaceae
Exons: 2
Source: RefSeq, a predicted model, not a curated record
UAUAUAGAAACACAAGAAAAAGAAAAAGGAAAAGGAAAAGAGAUAAAGAGAAAAAGAUAAAGAUGUAUAUAAAGAGGAAAGAAAAAACAAAACAAAGAAACUUCAAAAUUUUUCCCUCAUCUUUCCAUCCAUCCCAACAGUCAUCAUUCUCCAUGCUCAUUGCUUUUGUUUUGUGAAGAUAAAGGAAGAACUUGAGAGGAUUUUGGAAGACAAAAUAAGAAAAGGAAACAAAGAAGCACUUUGAAAGUUUGGUACAGGUGAUCGAGGUAGUUACGAGGCAGAGUCAGGUCAACGUAGAUAGAUCCAACUAGAGCAGAUUAUCUCUGAUUUAUAUUACAUGUAUAUAGUCACAUGUUCUUAUUGAUUUUUGACUUUUUUGAAAUGAUGGUACAGUUGUAUAUAAUUACUCCAUGUUUUCAGAGGUUUUUAGAUGAGUUUUCAUAUAAAUAUAUACAUCUUUUGUUCGCUUCCAGAUUUUCAGUUUUCUCAGAAUAAUUUCUAGACACUUUCAGUAAUGAAUUGAGUUCAAAGUAGUUUUUAAAGUA